GACGAACGCUGGCGGCGUGCUUAACACAUGCAAGUCGAACGGAAAGGCCCUGCUUUUGUGGGGUGCUCGAGUGGCGAACGGGUGAGUAACACGUGAGUAACCUGCCCUUGACUUUGGGAUAACUUCAGGAAACUGGGGCUAAUACCGGAUAGGAGCUCCUGCUGCAUGGUGGGGGUUGGAAAGUUUCGGCGGUUGGGGAUGGACUCGCGGCUUAUCAGCUUGUUGGUGGGGUAGUGGCUUACCAAGGCUUUGACGGGUAGCCGGCCUGAGAGGGUGACCGGCCACAUUGGGACUGAGGUACGGCCCAGACUCCUACGGGAGGCAGCAGUGGGGAAUAUUGCACAAUGGGCGGAAGCCUGAUGCAGCAACGCCGCGUGCGGGAUGACGGCCUUCGGGUUGUAAACCGCUUUCGCCUGUGACGAAGCGUGAGUGACGGUAAUGGGUAAAGAGGCACCGGCUAACUACGUGCCAGCAGCCGCGGUGAUACGUAGGGUGCGAGCGUUGUCCGGAUUUAUUGGGCGUAAAGGGCUCGUAGGUGGUUGAUCGCGUCGGAAGUGUAAUCUUGGGGCUUAACCCUGAGCGUGCUUUCGAUACGGGUUGACUUGAGGAAGGUAGGGGAGAAUGGAAUUCCUGGUGGAGCGGUGGAAUGCGCAGAUAUCAGGAGGAACACCAGUGGCGAAGGCGGUUCUCUGGGCCUUUCCUGACGCUGAGGAGCGAAAGCGUGGGGAGCGAACAGGCUUAGAUACCCUGGUAGUCCACGCUGUAAACGGUGGGUACUAGGUGUGGGGUCCAUUCCACGGGUUCCGUGCCGUAGCUAACGCUUUAAGUACCCCGCCUGGGGAGUACGGCCGCAAGGCUAAAACUCAAAGGAAUUGACGGGGCCCCGCACAAGCGGCGGAGCAUGCGGAUUAAUUCGAUGCAACGCGUAGAACCUUACCUGGGUUUGACAUGGAUCGGGAGCGCUCAGAGAUGGGUGUGCCUCUUUUGGGGUCGGUUCACAGGUGGUGCAUGGCUGUCGUCAGCUCGUGUCGUGAGAUGUUGGGUUAAGUCCCGCAACGAGCGCAACCCUUGUUCACUGUUGCCAGCACGUUAUGGUGGGGACUCAGUGGAGACCGCCGGGGUCAACUCGGAGGAAGGUGGGGAUGACGUCAAGUCAUCAUGCCCCUUAUGUCCAGGGCUUCACGCAUGCUACAAUGGCUGGUACAGAGAGUGGCGAGCCUGUGAGGGUGAGCGAAUCUCGGAAAGCCGGUCUCAGUUCGGAUUGGGGUCUGCAACUCGACCUCAUGAAGUCGGAGUCGCUAGUAAUCGCAGAUCAGCAACGCUGCGGUGAAUACGUUCCCGGG
RNAcentral lists this ribosomal RNA (1343 nucleotides) under uncultured bacterium. RNAcentral describes it as "16S ribosomal RNA". It matches the Rfam family "Bacterial small subunit ribosomal RNA", at positions 28 to 1378 of the family's 1533-position model. The record is from RNAcentral.